UACGGGGGGAGCAAGCGUUGUUCGGAUUUACUGGGCGUAAAGGGCGCGUAGGCGGCGUGACAAGUCACUUGUGAAAUCUCCGGGCUUAACUCGGAGCGGCCAAGUGAUACUGUCGUGCUAGAGUGCGGAAGAGGCGAGUGGAAUUCCUGGUGUAGCGGUGAAAUGCGCAGAUAUCAGGAGGAACACCUAUUGCGAAGGCAGCUCGCUGGGACGUAACUGACGCUGAGACGCGAAAGCGUGGGGAGCAAACAGG
This 253-nucleotide ribosomal RNA is filed under the name uncultured bacterium. RNAcentral describes it as "partial 16S ribosomal RNA". It matches the Rfam family "Bacterial small subunit ribosomal RNA", at positions 524 to 776 of the family's 1533-position model. The record is from RNAcentral.